RNAcentral lists this ribosomal RNA (953 nucleotides) under uncultured Flavobacteriaceae bacterium. RNAcentral describes it as "bacterial SSU rRNA". It matches the Rfam family "Bacterial small subunit ribosomal RNA", at positions 394 to 1351 of the family's 1533-position model. The record is from RNAcentral. Lineage: Bacteria; Pseudomonadati; Bacteroidota; Flavobacteriia; Flavobacteriales; Flavobacteriaceae.
AUGCCGCGUGCAGGAAGACUGCCCUAUGGGUUGUAAACUGCUUUUAUAUAGGAAGAAACCUACUUACGUGUAAGUAGCUGACGGUACUAUAAGAAUAAGGAUCGGCUAACUCCGUGCCAGCAGCCGCGGUAAUACGGAGGAUCCAAGCGUUAUCCGGAAUCAUUGGGUUUAAAGGGUCCGUAGGUGGAUAAUUAAGUCAGAGGUGAAAUCUUGCAGCUCAACUGUAAAAUUGCCUUUGAUACUGGUUAUCUUGAGUUAUUAUGAAGUAGUUAGAAUAUGUAGUGUAGCGGUGAAAUGCAUAGAUAUUACAUAGAAUACCAAUUGCGAAGGCAGAUUACUAAUAAUCAACUGACACUGAUGGACGAAAGCGUGGGUAGCGAACAGGAUUAGAUACCCUGGUAGUCCACGCCGUAAACGAUGGUUACUAGCUGUUUGGACUUCGGUCUGAGUGGCUAAGCGAAAGUGAUAAGUAACCCACCUGGGGAGUACGUUCGCAAGAAUGAAACUCAAAGGAAUUGACGGGGGCCCGCACAAGCGGUGGAGCAUGUGGUUUAAUUCGAUGAUACGCGAGGAACCUUACCAGGGCUUAAAUGUAAGUUGCAUUAGCUAGAGAUAGCUAUUUCUUCGGACCACUUACAAGGUGCUGCAUGGUUGUCGUCAGCUCGUGCCGUGAGGUGUCAGGUUAAGUCCUAUAACGAGCGCAACCCCUGUUGUUAGUUGCCAGCGAGUCAUGUCGGGAACUCUAACAAGACUGCCAGUGCAAACUGUGAGGAAGGUGGGGAUGACGUCAAAUCAUCACGGCCCUUACGUCCUGGGCUACACACGUGCUACAAUGGUAGGUACAGAGAGCAGCCACUGCGCGAGCAGGAGCGAAUCUAUAAAACCUAUCACAGUUCGGAUCGGAGUCUGCAACUCGACUCCGUGAAGCUGGAAUCGCUAGUAAUCGGAUAUCA